UUAGUUCUUUUUAGCAGAAACGCUAAAGCAAUUUUGACAGAUUCGGAAUUUCUCAAUGUAUCAUGGAUGUACAGUAAUAUUGGUUUUUUCGGAACUUAAUUAUUUCUAUCCAAUUAUUGUGCCAGAAUGAUGGUUGGAUUCUCUCUCUCUCCAAUGCAUUUCUCAUUAAAUAUCCAUUGUUUUCUUCUUCUUUCUUUUGCCUACGGGUGAACGGUGGUGCAUGCGAGGAACUGAGGAUGGAUAUAGUAGUGCUGCAGCCUGCAAAUUAAAUGUGAGAAGUCGUGGAAAGGUUAAUUGACCUUGUGCUGAUGCAGUUCAGAUGAAACCUCAUGCUUUUGUCGCCAGUUAAUUUUGUAAGCUCUAAAAAGAAGGAAAGAGAGGCAAAAUUUAACAAGAAGCUGAGGGAAGCUAGCUACAGCCUAUAAACAGCUACUUUGUUUCUCUUUCAUUGUUGCUUUAUUGCGGUUGAAGUUACAGCUAAGGCCAAAGCUGCCAUAAAUGGGAAAGAUGAGCUUAUAAGCAAUGUAAUAAAUUAAGAAAGAACAGAAGGGGACAAUUGAGGAUUUUUAUAAAGCACGCAAGGGGUUGUUGGUCAAAAAGAUUGAAGGGUUGAGGCGCCGCUUCUGCUUUUCCACCGAUCCGAAUUUAUAAUGAGUGUUUGUAUGCUAGGAUUGAAGAAAUUGACCUCUAUUAAUUUCUUUAUUGGGCAUUGAUGGAGACAAAUGAAAUGCUGAUUAUUUUAUCAUCCUUACCUAACCCUAAAAAGAGGGUUCUAAAUUCCUUGAGCGUCAAACUAACCCAUUUCAUGUGUAGUGUAAACGAGAGAGACAGCCAGCUGGUUCCCAAUUUUCUAUCAAUUUAUAAUGUUUGAAUUAGGAACCGAUAUGUUCUUGCAUUGCAAGCCAUUGGUUUGGUAUUAUAUGUUUUUUUUUUUUUCUUUCCUUCUUCUAUUAUAAAUGAAGAGUUGUCCAACAAUUUCUUCUUUUCAAGGAUUCUGUUGUGCUCUAUGGUUUAUGUUUGAAUCCCACUAGCUCAAGUAUUGAGCUUCACCCCCUCGAUUAUGAUGGUAUUCUCCGUGUAUCAACAUUUUCAAAGCGUACAGAUAUUCUCCUCUACAACAGUGUCUUCCCUGGGGCUUCUCAAAUCGAGGGUUUUUGUUUUUUGCAUUUUUCACAUAUCCAUGCAUUACCCCCUCCCCCCCACACACACAAAUCGGUGGCCGAUUAUUAUAAAUAAAAUUAUUGACUUACAUUUUGGUAUUGUUCCUUAUAAUGUGAUUACCUAUUCAUUUAU
This is a long non-coding RNA of Manihot esculenta (cassava), 1293 nucleotides long. RefSeq lists it as uncharacterized. The record is from RefSeq and is a predicted model, not a curated record. NCBI's taxonomy places the organism in Eukaryota, Viridiplantae, Streptophyta, Magnoliopsida, Malpighiales, Euphorbiaceae. The transcript is spliced from 4 exons.